AAUCAACGCUGGCGGCGUGCCUAACACAUGCAAGUCGAACGCGAAAGUCCCGCAAGGGAUGAGUAGAGUGGCAAACGGGUGAGUAACGCGUGGGUGACCUGCCUUCGAGCGGGGGAUAACGUUCCGAAAGGGACGCUAAUACCGCAUGACAUCCUGCCUUUCAAGAGGUGGAGAUCAAAGCUAGGGAUCGCAAGACCUAGCACUCGAAGAGGGGCCCGCGUCCGAUUAGCUAGUUGGUGGGGUAACGGCUCACCAAGGCAACGAUCGGUAGCCGGCC
RNAcentral lists this ribosomal RNA (277 nucleotides) under uncultured bacterium. RNAcentral's name for it is "partial 16S ribosomal RNA". It matches the Rfam family "Bacterial small subunit ribosomal RNA", at positions 32 to 292 of the family's 1533-position model. The record is from RNAcentral.